CCUACGGGUAGCAGCAGUGAGGAAUAUUGGUCAAUGGGCGUAAGCCUGAACCAGCCAAGUCGCGUGAGGGAUGAAGGUUCUAUGGGUUGUAAACCUCUUUUGUAAGGGAAUAAAGUCCGGGACGUGUCCUGUUUUGUAUGUACCUUAUGAAUAAGGAUCGGCUAACUCCGUGCCAGCAGCCGCGGUAAUACGGAGGAUCCGAGCGUUAUCCGGAUUUAUUGGGUUUAAAGGGUGCGUAGGCGGGCUUUUAAGUCAGCGGUGAAAGUCUGUGGCUCAACCAUAGAAGUGCCGUUGAAACUGGGGGGCUUGAGUAUGGUUGAGGCAGGCGGAAUGCGUGGUGUAGCGGUGAAAUGCAUAGAUAUCACGCAGAACCCCGAUUGCGAAGGCAGCCUGCCAGGGCAUGACUGACGCUGAUGCACGAAAGCGUGGGGAUCAAACAGGAUUAGAUACCCUUGUAGUC
RNAcentral lists this ribosomal RNA (460 nucleotides) under uncultured bacterium. RNAcentral's name for it is "partial 16S ribosomal RNA". It matches the Rfam family "Bacterial small subunit ribosomal RNA", at positions 338 to 795 of the family's 1533-position model. The record is from RNAcentral.